UGGUAUUCUUUACUUAGAAUAAUAAAACUUAAGUAGUAACAGAAAUGAGCUUGAAACUUAAAGGAUUUGGCGGUAUUUCAGUCGGGUUAGAGGAACCUGUCCCGUAAUCGAUGAUCCACGAAGAAUCUUACUCCGCUUUGUAACGAAAAACGUAUAAAUCAGUUAGUAUACCGCCAUUCUUAGGCCACUCUAAUAAGGGGACCCGCAAUAGAGAGGAAAUUUGUCUAGGAUAUUAGGUCAGGGUGCAGCUUAUAGUGGAGGGGAGAUGGGUUACAAUUUGACUUUAAAAACGAAUUACAAGUUGAAAUACUUGAUAUGAAGGCGGAUUUAAAAGUAAUAGAAGUUUAAUAAGCUUAUAUGAUUGACGCUCUGAAAUAUGUA
RNAcentral lists this ribosomal RNA (381 nucleotides) under Lysmata hochi. Its description in RNAcentral is "partial 12S ribosomal RNA". Lineage: Eukaryota; Metazoa; Arthropoda; Malacostraca; Decapoda; Hippolytidae. The record is from RNAcentral.